UUUUUGAGAAUAAUUUAAAGUUUAACCUGCCCAAUGAUAAAUUUAAUGGCCGCGGUAUUUUGACCGUGCUAAGGUAGCAUAAUCAAUAGUUUUUUAAUUGAAAGCUGGAAUGAAGGGUUGGAUAAAAAAAUAACUGUCUUUAUUUUAUUUAAUUAGAAUUUUAUUUUUAAGUUAAAAAGCUUAAAUAUAAUUAAAAGACGAGAAGACCCUAUAGAGUUUAAUAUUUUAUAUUAUUUAUAAUUUAAGAAUUUAAUUUAUAAUUUUUAUGAAAUAUUUAAUUGGGGUGAUUAAAAAAUUAAAUUAACUUUUUUUAUGUAAAAACAUUAAUUAAUGAAAAUUUGAUCCAUAUAUAAUGAUUAUAAGA
RNAcentral lists this ribosomal RNA (364 nucleotides) under Phaedon tumidulus. RNAcentral's name for it is "partial 16S large subunit ribosomal RNA". Lineage: Eukaryota; Metazoa; Arthropoda; Insecta; Coleoptera; Chrysomelidae. The record is from RNAcentral.